This 351-nucleotide ribosomal RNA is filed under the name uncultured Pseudomonas sp. Its description in RNAcentral is "bacterial SSU rRNA". It matches the Rfam family "Bacterial small subunit ribosomal RNA", at positions 1033 to 1382 of the family's 1533-position model. The record is from RNAcentral. Lineage: Bacteria; Pseudomonadati; Pseudomonadota; Gammaproteobacteria; Pseudomonadales; Pseudomonadaceae.
CACAGGUGCUGCACGGCUGUCGUCAGCUCGUGUCGUGAGAUGUUGGGUUAAGUCCGUAACGAGCGCAACCCUUGUCCUUAGUUACCAGCACGUUAUGGUGGGCACUCUAAGGAGACUGCCGGUGACAAACCGGAGGAAGGUGGGGGAGUGACGUCAAGUCAUCAUGGCCCUUACGGCCUGGGCUACACACGUGCUACAAUGGUCGGUACAAAGGGUUGCCAAGCCGCGAGGUGGAGCUAAUCCCAUAAAACCGAUCGUAGUCCGGAUCGCAGUCUGCAACUCGACUGCGUGAAGUCGGAAUCGCUAGUAAUCGUGAAUCAGAAUGUCACGGUGAAUACGUUCCCGGGCCUU